GUACACACCGCCCGUCACACCAUGGGAGUCGGUAACACCCGAAGCCUGUAGUCUAACCGCAAGGAGGACGCAGUCGAAGGUGGGAUUGAUGACUGGGGUGAAGUCGUAACAAGGUAGC
Molecule: ribosomal RNA, 118 nt
Filed under: uncultured bacterium
Lineage: Bacteria
Description: partial 16S ribosomal RNA
Rfam family: Bacterial small subunit ribosomal RNA
Source: RNAcentral